Molecule: long non-coding RNA, 1459 nt
Filed under: Scleropages formosus (Asian bonytongue)
Lineage: Eukaryota; Metazoa; Chordata; Actinopteri; Osteoglossiformes; Osteoglossidae
Description: lncRNA (ENSSFOG00015024351.1)
Source: RNAcentral
CCGUUUUCGAGGACAAACUGAGUCGUGUCCAGCGUGACAGUUGCGAAACGAUGACGAGCUGAAUAGGUUCUACGUAUGUGCAGGUUCACAAGACAAGCGAAUCGAUGCUGCACUACUGCUUCGCCCACUGCGCUUAUCAUUUCAGCAGGUUGCUGCCGAAGACCCGGCGGCUCAAAUUUCAGAUUCCUGUUCUUGCGUCUGCGAGCCUCCUCGUGGGCCCUCAGUUCUACGUCCUCGCAAGGCAAGUACAGCCGGCACGGCGAGAAGGGAACGGGUUGUUUUCUCUGCGCUGCUCCUUCACGUCACACGUGUGAAGAAGUUGACUUGAAUUGCAGGUCGACGUCCUCCCGUUACUGCGGCCAACCCCUUCUGAGCAACCUCGCCUGCUGCAUCCUGCUGUCCUUCGCGGCCGCUGGUACGCGGGCCGCGAGCGACCCCGGUGGCCUCCGCACGCGUCGCUUCUCAACCCUACUCCUGAGCAUCCCGUGCUCUGAGAAAGGGCAUUUUUAUACACUUACGUUAUUUAACGGACGCUUUGCUCCGAAGCAACUUCCGAUGAACUCUACGUAGAGUUCAAUCAGCCCACGCACCUUAUUUACCAUGGUGACUACACUGCUAGAUACACUGCUUACACUGGCUCACUCAUCCAUACAUCAGUGGAACACACACGAUAUGGAUGAACCUGAACGGCAUGUCUUUGGAUUGCGGGAGGAAACCAGAGCACCCGGAGGAAACCCACGCAAAUCCGCACAGACCGAGCGGGGAUCGAACCCACGUCCUACACCACCCAGGCGCUGAGACAGCAGCGCUACUCGCUGUGUCGCUGUGCCACCGUACCGCCCAACAUCACAAGGCAGUUUCCCAUUAUUACUGUACGAUACUGUAGUACCGUCUAGCUGUUCGGCUCCUUUAGAUCUUUCGCAGCUGCUAAGUGCCGUAAACCUCAACAGUCCAAAGACAGGUGAGCUGGUGACCCUCGGUGGACCUGUGUGUGUUUUAUAUCGCUCUGCUACAUAAAUGGUUACUUGAUUGUAGGGAUAUUACUGCGGUAUAUCUUUACUCUAGGAAGCGUGCAAAAUCCAAAUUUGAUCGUUUAGAAACGCCUUGUUAGCUCAAGUAGGGCUAUUAAGUGAAAGUGCUUGUAAAACGGAAUUCUCGUAACUCGAGUGAGUAUAUCUCUCUCUCUCUCUCUCUCUCGGGGACGACUGCACCGUUCUUUUAAUACAACCACCUUAACUCUCCACACUGAUCAUAUAAGAACAUUUAGAAUUUGAACUUGAAAAACUACUAGGUUUUUCAUUCAGUGUUUUCAAUUAUGACGUGAAUUUGCUUUAGAAGCGACGGAUGAUUACAUAUACAAAGACAACGCCAGCUUUUAAAAAUGAUUACAGCUGGACCUCAACUUACAAACGUGGUAGGGACUCGUACCAAUGUCUCAAUAAACAAAAGUUCACUCACA